GGGAAGGCUUAGAGGUAGGGUUAGAGUAGGGUUAGGGUAGGGCUAGGGUUAGAGGUAGGGUUAGGGUAGGGUUAGUGGUAGGGUUAGGAGUAGGAGUAGGGUUAUGGUAGGCUUAGGGGUAGAGUUGAGUUAGGAGCAGGGUUAGGAGUAGGGUUUUGGUAGGGUUAAAGGUAAGGUUAGGAUUAGCAUAGGGUUAGUGGUAGGGUAGGGGUAGGGUAGGGUUAGAG
Molecule: non-coding RNA, 227 nt
Organism: Pelobates cultripes (western spadefoot toad)
Lineage: Eukaryota; Metazoa; Chordata; Amphibia; Anura; Pelobatidae
Source: the annotation of a GenBank genome assembly